UGCUAUGUAACAGGGAUCUAAUUAGGAUU
RNAcentral lists this non-coding RNA (29 nucleotides) under Mus musculus (house mouse). Lineage: Eukaryota; Metazoa; Chordata; Mammalia; Rodentia; Muridae. The record is from RNAcentral.